CCUACGGGAGGCUGCAGUGAGGAAUAUUGGUCAAUGGCCGCGAGGCUGAACCAGCACAGUCGCGUGAGGUAAGAAGGCCCUACGGGUUGUAAACCUCUUUUGUCGGGGAGCAAAUCGACCCACGUGUGGUUCAUUGAGAGGACCCGCAGAAAAAGCAUCGGCUAACUCCAUGCCAGCAGCCGCGGUAAUACGGAGGAUGAGAACGUUAUCCGGAUUUAUUGGGUUAAAGGGGUGCGCAGGCGGAGGUGCAAGUCAGCGGUCAAAUUGCGGGGCUCAACCCCGUACUGCCGUUGAAACUGCAUCCCUUGAGUGCGCGAGAAGUAUGCGGAAUGCGUGGUGUAGCGGUGAAAUGCAUAGAUAGCACGCAGAACUCCGAUUGCGAAGGCAGCAUACCGGCGCGCAACUGACGCUCAUGCACGAAAGCGUGGGUAUCGAACAGGAUUAGAUACCCUAGUAGUC
RNAcentral lists this ribosomal RNA (459 nucleotides) under uncultured bacterium. RNAcentral's name for it is "partial 16S ribosomal RNA". It matches the Rfam family "Bacterial small subunit ribosomal RNA", at positions 338 to 795 of the family's 1533-position model. The record is from RNAcentral.